GACGAACGCUGGCGGCGUGCUUAACACAUGCAAGUCGAACGGAAAGGCCUCUUUCGGGGGGUACUCGAGUGGCGAACGGGUGAGUAACACGUGAGUAACCUGCCCUUGACUUUGGGAUAACUUCAGGAAACUGGGGCUAAUACCGGAUAGGAGCUCCUGCUGCAUGGUGGGGGUUGGAAAGUUUCGGCGGUUGGGGAUGGACUCGCGGCUUAUCAGCUUGUUGGUGGGGUAGUGGCUUACCAAGGCUUUGACGGGUAGCCGGCCUGAGAGGGUGACCGGCCACAUUGGGACUGAGAUACGGCCCAGACUCCUACGGGAGGCAGCGGUGGGGAAGAUUGCACAAUGGGUGGAAGCCUGAUGCAGCAACGCCGUGUGCGGGAUGACGGCCUUCGGGUUGGAAACCGCUUUCGCUCAUGACGAAGCUUUGUGUGACGGUAGUGGGUAAAGAAGCACCGGCUAACUACGUG
RNAcentral lists this ribosomal RNA (467 nucleotides) under uncultured bacterium. RNAcentral describes it as "partial 16S ribosomal RNA". It matches the Rfam family "Bacterial small subunit ribosomal RNA", at positions 28 to 507 of the family's 1533-position model. The record is from RNAcentral.